Molecule: non-coding RNA, 200 nt
Filed under: Chromera velia
Lineage: Eukaryota; Chromeraceae
Source: RNAcentral
GCAACAAUACUUUUGCUUCUUUUGCACUUUGCACCUCUUUGGCUCUCUUCAUGACAUGAGGGUUUUCCUGUUUUGUUUUUGCGAAUGGACAAGAGAAGAUCUGGCUGGACAAAGAGAGAAAGAGAGACGGAGAAAGAUCAACUCACACACAAAAGAAAGAGAGCUUAGUUAGUUAUCACAAAUAGUAAUUUUUUCGUUUC